CACCGGGGCAGCCUCGGGCGGGCCGCUGCGGGCAAGCACGGGACAAAGCAGAGCGUGAGCCGGGCUUUGCAGAAAUAGGAUGGUGCCAGCGACGAGCGGGGGUACCUUGGGAACUUCAAGAGCGUGCACACCACAAACGACCACCUGCAGCGGCCUUCUGGCUGCAGGCUCGGCUGGAGCACUGCCCGGGCCUGAAGGGCAGGCUGGGGCCACAGGCUGACACCCGGGGAAAGGCACGGCCGGUGACAGUCCUGGGGACGGGGCUGCUGGCACCUCCAAACGCAGGUGUCGGUCCCUCCUACAGUCAGAGCCCGGUUAUCCGGCCUGGCAGCCGAACCAGCUUUGGUGAGAUGUUGCCUUUAAGACUGAUCCUCCCAAACUCAGGGGAAAACUCAUCACAGCUGAAUUUUUUUCCUGCAAAUCCCGACAGCUCCUUCAACCUCUGGAGCUGCGCCCCGACACCGGAGCGGUUGUGACAUCCCUGAGGCACCUUGCUCGGUUUGUCCUCCAUCUCGUGUUGAUGAUUGACGGCAUCUUGGUGGCAGAAGGGGCAAGGGUCCCCCAGGACACGGCAUCCCCAUCCCUGUCUGCCCGGCAGGAAGCUCUCCCUCCAGCAACAGAUGCUGUUGUUCUCCUGCACCAUCAAUCCCUUUCAGGAAGGGACGGGGAUUAGAUGGGGGUAACAUGUCUUAAGGUAAGGGGGAACAGAAGGAGCUUUUCUGCUGGACCCAGCAGCAUCUCACUCCGACAGACCUGGCAGGAACACAGGUGCCGAGUUAAAGGAUGAUCCUGAGCAAAAUCCAUCCCUAAGCAAGGUGACCCUUCCAGACCUGCUCCAAGGAGAUAGUGGGGGUGCCAGAACCACAUCUAAGGUGGACCUGGGCCCUGUGUGGGGCUGCUGCCAGAGACUGGUCUGGCAGGGCAGCAGCACCUCCUUGCUUACCACCGAAAGCUCCUGCUCACAGGAUCUUGGGCACAGAUCCGCGUAUCUGGUACCUUCUGCUCCUUCACAGGGCCCAGCUACUGCGGCAGCUACUUGCAUGGUGCUGACCAGAUGGUCUGACUGCCCCACUGCCCUCUCUCGCCCAUUAUUGUUUGCUAAGAUCUUACUGCUUUUCCUGGACAAGGGACCUUCGCUUCUUCAUAUCACUUGAAUCUCUGCAUUGCCCUGAGCUCUGAGGUGACCAAGUUGUGGUUUGCUUUGCCCCCUGCUCUUCUCACACCUCCACCUUGUAGCAGAUGUAGAGUUCAGAUUUGUUCCUAUACUCUGCAGAAGACCUGGAAGUCUCCAUCUUCCAGCGUCAAUUAGUGUAAGUUCCCUUCACAUGGAGCCUAAUGCUCCUUGCUCUGCUGUUACCCAACCUGCUAAACUUCCCUUGUAAGCAGGCCAGCAGCUCUGUGCACCCUAUCGAGGCAGGUUUAGCAUUUGCUCUCCUGUUUUCUGCGGAGGUUGGCCCAAUUCCUGUAGGGAGGAUAGAGGCUGAGGAAGAUCCUGGAUCACAAAUCUGCCCUUCAUCCCCAUGCUUCUAUCCACAGAGGUCAGAACUACUGCACUCGUCCUGGAAUUGCUCCACAAGGCGCUUUUCCAGCUCCUGGAUGCAUUUCCACACAAUAAAAAGUCUUAUCUGAAAUGACAGCGUGUGGCUGGAUGCAGCUCACUUAACUGCUCAGCUACCUGGGGCUCUUGCUUUCCUGCCUAGAGUUAUUAAAGUAGAGCUACAGCUC
Long non-coding RNA from Harpia harpyja (harpy eagle), 1725 nucleotides. RefSeq lists it as uncharacterized. Lineage: Eukaryota; Metazoa; Chordata; Aves; Accipitriformes; Accipitridae. The record is from RefSeq and is a predicted model, not a curated record. The transcript is spliced from 3 exons.